CCCAUGCCUUCUGUCAUGAGAGAGAAAACAUACAAAGCAAAAUCUCAGUUUCUCUUCUCAUUGAAGUAAUCUGCCAACAGGUUGCGUCUUUUCUUAUAACCCUAACAUGAGGACAGCUGCAUUGCUAGGAGCUGUUGCCAGAGAGCGGUGACCAUGUCCUCCUUGGCCUCCUGUCUUUUGUUUAUCUCCAUCCCCAUCUCCAAGGUUUCUGAUGUUUUACUUGCAUCUUUGCUGUCAGGUGGAUGUUUUGGGGUUGAAGAUGAGCUUGUGUAGCAAAGAGAAGUGAAAUGGUGAAUAUGGUUUCUUUAAGUACAUGCUCAGAUUCUACCUCUCAGCUGUCCUGGAAUGGGCUAUGACUGAUCAAAAUUAUUGUACUGCAACAAAUAAGCUGCAACAAACAAGCUGCAACAAACAUUUUACAACAAAUUCAAAGGACAGCAGUCCAUUAGAAAACAUACCGACCAGGAAGACACCUGAAUUUUCAAGCCUCAGGAUUAGACGUUGCAGUAAAAAGGUCAGUAAAGUCUCCUUUUUAAAUUUGUGAUGGAUCAACAGUGUGCAUCUGAACUUAUAACAUC
This 578-nucleotide long non-coding RNA is filed under the name Zonotrichia albicollis (white-throated sparrow). RNAcentral's name for it is "lncRNA (ENSZALG00000001689.1)". The record is from RNAcentral. Lineage: Eukaryota; Metazoa; Chordata; Aves; Passeriformes; Passerellidae.